This 361-nucleotide unclassified non-coding RNA is filed under the name uncultured Sordariomycetes. RNAcentral's name for it is "sequence contains ITS2". The stretch from base 1 to 154 matches the Rfam family "5.8S ribosomal RNA". Lineage: Eukaryota; Fungi; Ascomycota; Sordariomycetes. The record is from RNAcentral.
AACUUUUGACAAUGGAUCUCUUGGUUCUGGCAUCGAUGAAGAACGCAGCGAAAUGCGAUAAAUAAUGUGAAUUGCAGAAUUCCGUGAAUCAUCGAAUCUUUGAACGCACAUUGCGCCUAUUAGUAUUCUAGUAGGCAUGCCUAUUCGAGCGUUGUUUCUGCCCUCAGCGCCUGCUGGUGUUGGAAGCUGGCGUGAGCCGGCCUCUAAAAUGGAAUGGCUAGCGGCUCCCCUGCCCCUUUACGCACUGGAAUCUUCAGCGUUGCAAGGCGGAGUGCCUCUAUGUCUGCAUCCAACUUCUCAAGUUGACCUCGAAUUAGGUAGGAAUACCCGCUGAACUUAAGCAUAUCAAUAAGCGGAGGCU